GUGAAUGCGCGAAGCCUGAUCAGCCAUGCCGCGUGUGUGAAGAAGGCCUUUUGGUUGUAAAGCACUUUAAGCGAGGAGGAGGCUACUUGGAUUAAUACUCUAGGAUAGUGGACGUUACUCGCAAAAUAAGCACCGGCUAACUCUGUGCCAGCAGCCGCGGUAAUACAGAGGGUGCGAGCGUUAAUCGGAUUUACUGGGCGUAAAGCGUGCGUAGGCGGCUUUUUAAGUCGGAUGUGAAAUCCCUGAGCUUAACUUGGGAAUUGCAUUCGAUACUGGGAAGCUAGAGUAUGGGAGAGGAUGGUAGAAUUCCAGGUGUAGCGGUGAAAUGCGUAGAGAUCUGGAGGAAUACCGAUGGCGAAGGCAGCCAUCUGGCCUAAUACUGACGCUGAGGUACGAAAGCAUGGGGAGCAAACAGGAUUAGAUACCCUGGUAGUCCAUGCCGUAAACGAUGUCUACUAGCCGUUGGGGCCUUUGAGGCUUUAGUGGCGCAGCUAACGCGAUAAGUAGACCGCCUGGGGAGUACGGUCGCAAGACUAAAACUCAAAUGAAAUUUGACGGA
Molecule: ribosomal RNA, 559 nt
Filed under: uncultured bacterium
Lineage: Bacteria
Description: bacterial SSU rRNA
Rfam family: Bacterial small subunit ribosomal RNA
Source: RNAcentral